This 355-nucleotide long non-coding RNA is filed under the name Fukomys damarensis (Damara mole-rat). RNAcentral's name for it is "lncRNA (ENSFDAG00000021826.1)". Lineage: Eukaryota; Metazoa; Chordata; Mammalia; Rodentia; Bathyergidae. The record is from RNAcentral.
GGGGCUCCCAGGCCCGUCUGUCCCUGCGUACUUGUUGCAUAAAAGCAUGUGUCUGGAGGAAUAGGACCUGAAGUUCACUUCCUGGGAAACACCAGCAAGCAUCACAUCUGAUCUGAUGGACAGGACUGGGAAACUGGAUUCUUCUGUGAUUUUCUCAAUGUAACUGAGGAGGGUGCCACACAAUAUGCCCAGAGCCCACACAGCAGGGCAGAGAUCAACACUAACAGGUAACUGGGCUGAGGACCACCAAUAUUUUGGCUCUGGCCUCCCAAGAUCAUCAAAGAUCCAAGGUGUGAAGGAACCUUUUCUACAACACCUUAUAUCUUUGGUAAGUCACCCAACUUCCUGAACAGGG